Molecule: ribosomal RNA, 406 nt
Filed under: uncultured rumen bacterium
Lineage: Bacteria
Description: bacterial SSU rRNA
Rfam family: Bacterial small subunit ribosomal RNA
Source: RNAcentral
GUGGGGAAUAUUGCACAAUGGGCGAAAGCCUGAUGCAGCAACGCCGCGUGAAGGAUGAAGGUCUUCGGAUCGUAAACUUCUGUCCUAAGGGAAGAAUAAAUGACGGUACCUUUGGAGGAAGCCCCGGCUAACUACGUGCCAGCAGCCGCGGUAAUACGUAGGGGGCGAGCGUUAUCCGGAAUUAUUGGGCGUAAAGGGUGCGUAGGCGGUUUCUUAAGCGCGGGGUGAAAGGCAGUGGCUUAACCAUUGUUAGCCUUGCGAACUGGGAAACUUGAGUGCUGGAGAGGAAAGUGGAAUUCCUAGUGUAGCGGUGGAAUGCGUAGAUAUUAGGAGGAACACCAGUGGCGAAGGCGACUUUCUGGACAGUAACUGACGCUGAGGCACGAAAGUGUGGGGAGCAAACAGG